This 506-nucleotide ribosomal RNA is filed under the name uncultured bacterium. Its description in RNAcentral is "partial 16S ribosomal RNA". It matches the Rfam family "Bacterial small subunit ribosomal RNA", at positions 29 to 523 of the family's 1533-position model. The record is from RNAcentral.
AGUGAACGCUGGCGGUAGGCCUAACACAUGCAAGUCGAACGGCAGCACAGAGGAGCUUGCUCCUUGGGUGGCGAGUGGCGGACGGGUGAGGAAUACAUCGGAAUCUACUCUGUCGUGGGGGAUAACGUAGGGAAACUUACGCUAAUACCGCAUACGACCUACGGGUGAAAGCAGGGGAUCUUCGGACCUUGCGCGAUUGAAUGAGCCGAUGUCGGAUUAGCUAGUUGGCGGGGUAAAGGCCCACCAAGGCGACGAUCCGUAGCUGGUCUGAGAGGAUGAACAGCCACACUGGGACAGAGACACGUUCCAGACUCCUACGGGAGGCAGCAGUGGGGAAUAUUGGACAAUGGGCGCAAGCCUGAUCCAGCCAUACCGCGUGGGUGAAGAAGGCCUUCGGGUUGUAAAGCCCUUUUGUUGGGAAAGAAAUCCAUCUGGCUAAUACCCGGGUGGGAUGACGGUACCCAAAGAAUAAGCACCGGCUAACUUCGUGCCAGCCGCCGCGGUAA